Molecule: ribosomal RNA, 252 nt
Filed under: uncultured bacterium
Lineage: Bacteria
Description: partial 16S ribosomal RNA
Rfam family: Bacterial small subunit ribosomal RNA
Source: RNAcentral
GACAGAGGGUGCGAACGUUGUUCGGAAUUACUGGGCGUAAAGCGCGUGUAGGCGGCAACGUGUGUCGGGCGUGAAAUCCCACGGCUCAACCGUGGAAGUGCACUCGAAACUGCGUAGCUAGAGUCCUGGAGAGGAAGGUGGAAUGCUUGGUGUAGAGGUGAAAUUCGUAGAUAUCAAGCGGAACACCGGUGGCGAAGGCGCCUUCUGGACAGUGACUGACGCUGAGACGCGAAAGCGUGGGGAGCAAACAGG